GUAGUCUCGCACAGAUGCAUAUCAAUAAGCGGAGGAAAAGAAACUAACAAGGAUUCCCCUAGUAACGGCGAGUGAAGCGGGAAGAGCUCAAAUUUGAAAUCUUAAAGGGUUUCCCUUUACGAAUUGUAGUUUAAAGAAGUGUUUUCUGUUGAGGUUUUGGUAAAAGUUCUUUGGAAUAGGACAUCAUAGAGGGUGAGAAUCCCGUAUUUGACCUUUACUUUCAACUUUGUGAUACACUUUCAAAGAGUCGGAUUGUUUGGGAAUGCAGUCCAAAAUGGGUGGUAAAUUUCAUCUAAAGCUAAAUAUUGGCGAGAGACCGAUAGCGAACAAGUACCGUGAGGGAAAGAUGAAAAGGAACUUUGAAAAGAGAGUUAAACAGUACGUGAAAUUGUCAAAAGGGAAGCGUUUGACACCAGUGUUGUUUUUCUGAAAAUCAAUUAAAGAACUGUUUAUGCUAAGCUGUUUAGACUUUAUCAGCUAUCUGUUUAGUUUUGAGCUUUUCUUUAAUGCACUUUUCAGUUAACAAGUCAACAUCAAUUUCUUUUGCUGUAAAAAAGCUUGAGGAAGGUGGCUUGAGAUUCGUCUUAAGUGUUUAUAGCCUCUUGCCUAUGCAGUCGGAGAGAUUGAGGUCUGCAGCGUAGAUCCUUCGGGGCUAAAUGCAUUUGUGCUAAGUUAUAGCAUUUUAUAGACAACUUGUUGACUAUGAUUUGUCUUGUAGCUUACUCGCUUAUGUUAUUUUACCUACGCUUAGGAUGUUGAAGACUCUACAGAGAUA
Molecule: ribosomal RNA, 775 nt
Filed under: uncultured Neocallimastigales
Lineage: Eukaryota; Fungi; Neocallimastigomycota; Neocallimastigomycetes; Neocallimastigales
Description: partial large subunit ribosomal RNA
Rfam family: Eukaryotic large subunit ribosomal RNA
Source: RNAcentral